UUUAAAUUGAGAGUUUGAUCCUGGCUCAGGAUGAACGCUGGCGGCGUGCCUAAUACAUGCAAGUCGAACGAAACUUCUUUAUCACCGAGUGCUUGCACUCACCGAUAAAGAGUUGAGUGGCGAACGGGUGAGUAACACGUGGGCAACCUGCCCAAAAGAGGGGGAUAACACUUGGAAACAGGUGCUAAUACCGCAUAACCAUAGUUACCGCAUGGUAACUAUGUAAAAGGUGGCUAUGCUACCGCUUUUGGAUGGGCCCGCGGCGCAUUAGCUAGUUGGUGAGGUAAAGGCUUACCAAGGCAAUGAUGCGUAGCCGAACUGAGAGGUUGAUCGGCCACAUUGGGACUGAGACACGGCCCAAACUCCUACGGGAGGCAGCAGUAGGGAAUCUUCCACAAUGGGCGAAAGCCUGAUGGAGCAACGCCGCGUGGGUGAAGAAGGUCUUCGGAUCGUAAAACCCUGUUGUUAGAGAAGAAAGUGCGUGAGAGUAACU
Molecule: ribosomal RNA, 493 nt
Filed under: Ligilactobacillus animalis
Lineage: Bacteria; Bacillati; Bacillota; Bacilli; Lactobacillales; Lactobacillaceae
Description: bacterial SSU rRNA
Rfam family: Bacterial small subunit ribosomal RNA
Source: RNAcentral